GAUUCUGGCUCAGGAUGAACGCUGGCGGCGUGCUUAACACAUGCAAGUCGAACGGAGUUUUAACGGAAGUUUCGGAUGGAAGUUUAGAAACUUAGUGGCGGACGGGUGAGUAACGCGUGGGUAACCUGCCUCAUACAGGGGGAUAACAGUUAGAAAUGACUGCUAACACCGCAUAAUAUAGCGAAACCGCAUGAUUUUGCUAUCAAAUAUUUAUAGGUAUGAGAUGGGCCCGCGUCUGAUUAGCUAGUUGGUGGGGUAAAAGCCUACCAAGGCGACGAUCAGUAGCCGGCUUGAGAGAGUGACCGGCCACAUUGGGACUGAGACACGGCCCAAACUCCUACGGGAGGCAGCAGUGGGGAAUAUUGGACAAUGGGGGAAACCCUGAUCCAGCGAACCGCCGCGUGAGUGAAGAAGUAUUUCGGUAUGUAAAGCUCUAUCAGCAGGGAAGAUAAUGACAGUACCUGACUAAGAAGCCCCGGCUAACUACGUGCCAGCAGCGGC
Molecule: ribosomal RNA, 501 nt
Filed under: uncultured bacterium
Lineage: Bacteria
Description: bacterial SSU rRNA
Rfam family: Bacterial small subunit ribosomal RNA
Source: RNAcentral